CCUGUUGCAUACAGAGGACGGAAAAAUAGGAAAGGAACACAUUUAAACAAAAUGUGGUGGAUACUUUCAGCAAUAUCAAAGCAAGUUAAAAAGCAUCCUGGGCUGGUACCUCUGAUUGGCUUUACUGGACUGGGAAUUACUAAUGCUACCAUCUACCUGGUGAAGCUUACUCUUUUCAACCCAGAAGUAAGUUGGGCAAAGAAGAAAGAGCCAGAGCCAUGGUAUAAAUGAGAUCCAGACCUCUAGAGAAGAGGUUAACACCAAAGGAUGUUUUGAUAAUGAGACAGAGUAUGAAAACUUUUCCAGAUUAAGGAUUGGACCAUUCCUAUCACGGUGCAGGACUGUAUAUUUACCAUAUAUCAAUGUCACUCUCUGAUUAUCUGUAGUUUGCCUCAAAAUGUUUUUAUCGUUUCGUUCCCUUCUAUGCUACAAAGGUCUGAGUGUUCUAAAGAACUGCCCAACAUUUAUUUACGGAUAUUACAUGCAGAGUAGUAAAGUUUCUUACCAGUUGCACGAUGCCUGGAGCAAUUCACGGGGGUUUAAUUAGGGAGUAAUACUUAUCAUUGUUUUCUUUAGAUAUUGCUUCUUUUUUUUUGUCCUCGAGCUUGACAUUUUGGAUAUAUCUAUAUAUAUACAGAAUAAGCUGUUUUGGAUGAGUGACAUCUCUGUGAUUAUUUUUUCAGCAACAUGUUUGAUGUGACAAUAUGAAUUGAUGUUGCCUCAAUUUUUCUGUAAUGAAAUUGUAGCAAGAAAGCCCAAACUAAUUUAGUGUGUAUCAUUUUAAUCACAUGAUAUUGUAUAGCUGGUAUACAUGGACAUGAGCAAUGUGGUGUACUAUCUAUGUGCUACCUGCAUAUGAAGCAUUAGAAGCAUUAGAAGCACCUACAUAUGAAGCAUUGUUAUUAGAUUUAACAGAAGCAUAAUAACCUCAGGACAUUAUACAUUCAUUGGACCAUUAACAUCUUCAUCAUAGAUCAUUAUUUUGCAAUUCAAAUCACUUGGACCUUAAGUACAUAAAAAAAGUAUAAACAUCUAUUCUAUUAAUUUCUAUCAAACAUAAUAAGACUGUUCUUUACACUAGAAUUGAUCACUAAUCAGAAUUGAUUAGAUACCCCCAAACGGUGCCUGAUCUGGCAAGAUUGUCUGAUUCCGAGCUCCUAGACCACCAUCUUUGGUUGGUUUCUUCAUGUACCACAUCUGAGGAAACCAGGGAACUAUCCCAAGCACACACAUUGGACACACUCAUUCUAUGCUCAGGACCUUAGGACGAUGCAGCACUUCAGCAGCACUCUGUGCAAGGUCUGCACUGUGUGUGGCCAGGCAGAGAAGAGAGGCUGUCAUCCAGACUGACAUGCACCUUUCUUUUGGAGGCUCUCAUCACCCAUGUGGUGUAAUUGGCAUGCUUUUAGGCCUGCCCACCUUUCUUGUGUUUCUUACCUCCCAGUGUUGGGAAUUAUGUAUUAUAAGGAGAUUCAAAACAAAUCCAAAACACCAACAUUGGGAAAAUUCUCACACAAAAUCAAAGCUCUGCCAUGAAAUAAGAUAUACUUCUCCACAUGAUCAGAUCUUCUUCAUCACCUGGAAGAAAAUACAUAUUCCAUUGUGUGAGAUAUAUAUUUUUUAAAUGUGCUACCAUUAAGUAAGCCCGGCAGGGAUCUAGUUUUUAGAUAUGGAGCCCGAGAGGUGGCAAGGCAACUGUCUUUUUUUAAAUCAUGCACAUGCUGAGGGGACGAAUGGGGUGACCUAUGCAACUAGAGCCAGCUGAAGGCAAUCCUUAGGGGUGUGGUCAUGCGCUGCGGCACCUGCACAACAAGAUCCUGCCCCUUUAAUAAUGGCUGCCAGUGCUAGGAGGAAGUGAGAGCUGGUAAAUUUCUCCCUAAUACAGAGCCAUAUAGGAGGAAGAGAGGACAGCCAGGAGGGAGCACAGAAUAGGAGAGCCAGCUCCUAACUUCCAACAACCUCAGCCAGCAGAAGCCACGCUCCUGUACCCAAAUGGUAGGAAACAGGACUGUGGCUAAAAAAUUUAAAUUUUGACACAUGUGUGUGCCCCCGUGUGUCUGUGUAUCUGUAUAAGUGUCAGUUUGUGUAUCUGUGCAUUUAUCUGUGUAUCUGCAUGUAUGUCAUUGUGUGCCCCUGUGUAUCUCUACGGGUAUCAGUGUACCUGUAUGAGUUUCACCGUGAGCGUCUUUGUAUCUGUCAGUGUUUCUAUCUCUAUGUGUGUUAGUGUGUGUAUCUGUGUUUAUGCAUGUGUGUAUUUGUGUGUAUGUGUAUCUGUAUCUGUGUGAGUGUGUCUGUGUAUUUGCAUAUAUGUCAAUGUGAGUCUGUGUGUCUAUGUAUCUCUAUGAGUAUCUGCAUGACUGUACCAGUGUAUCUGUAUGUGUCUCAGUGUUUGUGUCUGUAUGUGUGUCAGUGUGUGUAUCUAUGUGUCUGUGUAUCUGGAUGUGUGUCAGUGUGUGUCAGCUGACAAAACUUUGUGGGAGUUGUACAAGAGAUGAGCAUCUAUCUUUUGGACAUCCUUGCAAUAUGGGGGCUCCCAAAAAUUAUUGAACCAGGGCUCUCUCUAGUUCCACCACCAGAGAGAUCUAUUGAUUUUGAUUCACAAAGAGCAGUAACACGUGAAAUUGUAAUACAUAUGAGAUAUAAUGUGAGAUUUGCAGACUAAACUAAUUCAACAAUAAACAUUAUUUGCAGCAGAGUCUAUGAGUAUUUUGACAGUGGCACAAUUAAAGUGCAGGCUGUCACCUUUAAAUUGAGGGUGUUUUGCGUUCAUAAACCAUAAAUCAUGUACAAAUAACAGCUUAGUUAGUGUAUGUAUAGUUCUUCAAUUUUAGGAGACAAAAAGUAAUCGAACUUGGACCAUUGUGUAUUGUAUCUUAACGCAAGGAGCAUAUCAGUAAAGAUGGCUAUCAUAUUGCUAGAAAUUUAUACAAAUUGAUCAGAGACAUAGCAAAACCACUGAGUAGAACAAAAUGGACUGUGCAGUGUUAGAAUGUGGAAUUCACUGUAGCUGAUAAUGGGAAAAUACUUGUGGUUGUGAAGGUAGAAACCCUUUUCAAAUGUCAGACAGAUUAAGGAUCCUCUAAAGACUGUAUAGAAGGCAUAGACGUUUUAGAAAACAGCUCCUAUGCUAUCAUAACAUUAGAGACAUGAACACAAGUGCUAUAUUAUAGAGGUGUUACUUCAAGAUGCAGCCCAUUGGUGAACCUUAAAAGCGACCUGACAAGUUACAGUUGAAAACAAAAGAUGUUUUGGAACAAAGUAUGGAUCAACAAAAUGAAUAUUGACCUGUACCAUAGUAAUGGAACGACAAAAAUUUAUGAAAGGAAUGAAAUGCACUUGAUCCAAUGCAUACAGGGACAUGUGUUAUGGACAGUUUAGAUUGAGAUUUGUUUGAACCUUGGUAAAGAAAAAACGAAUGUGUGAUGAGAUCUAUGAAAUAUGUUGUGGGUAAUGUUAUGGGUCAUGGAUGUGUUAGAGACUAUAAAUGACUCAAUGUCAUUUAUUUUUUAUAUGGCUUCUCGCAGCAGCACCAGGAUGAACUCUGAGGCCUCCAGAAACAUUUUAUCAGCUUAGAUUUAACAAAAAAAAUCCAAGUCUAUUGGGAGGCAUGUCAUGUUUGAACAGGCCAGUAGCAUACAUGUUGCUUAAGCAUCCAGGAAAGGCUAUACAUUGACUGUGUCUGAGUAUCAAUCAUCCAACCACAUGUUAGCUGAGUCUGUGUUUUCCUCGUUGAAGACACAACUAAAGUGACCCAAAAGGAACAGGAGCUGAAGAUUACUGUAGCAUAAGUCUGGCAAACCAUCACCAAGAAA
Long non-coding RNA from Pelobates fuscus (common spadefoot toad), 3812 nucleotides. RefSeq lists it as uncharacterized. Lineage: Eukaryota; Metazoa; Chordata; Amphibia; Anura; Pelobatidae. The transcript is spliced from 4 exons. The record is from RefSeq and is a predicted model, not a curated record.